CAGUAGCCGCGGUAACACGGAGGAUCCAAGCGUUAUCCGGAAUCAUUGGGUUUAAAGGGUCCGUAGGCGGUCUUGUAAGUCAGUGGUGAAAGCCCAUCGCUCAACGGUGGAACGGCCAUUGAUACUGCAGGACUUGAAUUAUUGGGAAGUAACUAGAAUAUGUAGUGUAGCGGUGAAAUGCUUAGAGAUUACAUGGAAUACCAAUUGCGAAGGCAGGUUACUACCAAUUGAUUGACGCUGAUGGACGAAAGCGUGGGUAGCGAACAGGAUUAGAUACCCGCGUAGUCCCUGUCUCUUAUAC
This 301-nucleotide ribosomal RNA is filed under the name uncultured bacterium. RNAcentral describes it as "partial 16S ribosomal RNA". It matches the Rfam family "Bacterial small subunit ribosomal RNA", at positions 509 to 807 of the family's 1533-position model. The record is from RNAcentral.